This 492-nucleotide ribosomal RNA is filed under the name uncultured bacterium. RNAcentral's name for it is "partial 16S ribosomal RNA". It matches the Rfam family "Bacterial small subunit ribosomal RNA", at positions 29 to 507 of the family's 1533-position model. The record is from RNAcentral.
AGUGAACGCUGGCGGUAGGCCUAACACAUGCAAGUCGAACGGCAGCACAGUAAGAGCUUGCUCCUACGGGUGGCGAGUGGCGGACGGGUGAGGAAUACAUCGGAAUCUACUUUUUCGUGGGGGAUAACGUAGGGAAACUUACGCUAAUACCGCAUACGACCUACGUGUGAAAUCAUGGGAUCUUCGGACCUUGCGCGAUUGAAUGAGCCGAUGUCGGAUUAGCUAGUUGGCGGGGUAAAGGCCCACCAAGGCGACGAUCCGUAGCUGGUCUGAGAGGAUGAUCAGCCACACUGGAACUGAGACACGGUCCAGACUCCUACGGGAGGCAGCAGUGGGGAAUAUUGGACAAUGGGCGCAAGCCUGAUCCAGCCAUACCGCGUGGGUGAAGAAGGCCUUCGGGUUGUAAAGCCCUUUUGUUGGGAAAGAAAAGCAGCAGGUUAAUACCCCGCUGUUCUGACGGUACCCAAAGAAUAAGCACCGGCUAACUUCGUG